This 528-nucleotide ribosomal RNA is filed under the name Mirogrex terraesanctae (Kinneret bleak). RNAcentral describes it as "partial small subunit ribosomal RNA". It matches the Rfam family "Bacterial small subunit ribosomal RNA", at positions 55 to 955 of the family's 1533-position model. Lineage: Eukaryota; Metazoa; Chordata; Actinopteri; Cypriniformes; Leuciscidae. The record is from RNAcentral.
AUGCAAGUCUCCGCAACCCCGUGAGUAUGCCCUUAAUCCCCUAUCCCGGGGACGAGGAGCGGGCAUCAGGCACAAAUUUUUAGCCCAAGACGCCUGGCCGAGCCACACCCCCAAGGGAAUUCAGCAGUGAUAGAUAUUAAGCCAUAAGUGAAAGCUUGACUCAAUUAGGGUUAAGAGGGCCGGUAAAACUCGUGCCAGCCACCGCGGUUAAACGAGAGGCCCCAGUUAAUGAUACACGGCGUAAAGGGUGGUUAAGGAGAAUAUAAAGAUAAAGCCGAAUGGCCCUUUGGCUGUCAUACGCUUCUAGGUGUCCGAAGUCCAAUAUACGAAAGUAGCUUUAAUAAAGCCCACCUGACCCCACGAAAGCUGAGAAACAAACUGGGAUUAGAUACCCCACUAUGCUCGGCUGUAAACCCAGACAUCCAACUACAAUUGAACGUUCGCCCGGGUACUACGAGCAUUAGCUUGAAACCCAAAGGACCUGACGGUGCCUUAGACCCCCCUAGAGGAGCCUGUUCUAGAACCGAA